This 253-nucleotide ribosomal RNA is filed under the name uncultured bacterium. RNAcentral's name for it is "partial 16S ribosomal RNA". It matches the Rfam family "Bacterial small subunit ribosomal RNA", at positions 524 to 776 of the family's 1533-position model. The record is from RNAcentral.
UACGGAGGGUGCUAGCGGUGUUCGGAAUUACUGGGCGUAAGGCGCGCGUAGGCGGGCUGUUAAGUCGGGGGUGAAAUCCCGGGGCUCAACCCCGGAACUGCCUUCGAUACUGGCAGCCUAGAGGAAGGCAGAGGCUAGUGGAAUGGCGAGUGUAGAGGUGAAAUUCGUAGAUAUUCGCCGGAACGCCAGUGGCGAGCGCGACUGGCUGUGCCUUUUCUGACGCUGAGGUGCGAAAGCGUGGGGAGCAAACAGG